GACGAACGCUGGCGGCGUGCUUAACACAUGCAAGUCGAACGGAAAGGCCCUGCUUUUGUGGGGUGCUCGAGUGGCGAACGGGUGAGUAACACGUGAGUAAUCUGCCCUUGACUUUGGGAUAACUUCAGGAAACUGGGGCUAAUACCGGAUAGGAGCUCCUGCUGCAUAGUGGGGGUUGGAAAGUUUCGGCGGUUGGGGAUGGACUCGCGGCUUAUCAGCUUGUUGGUGGGGUAGUGGCUUACCAAGGCUUUGACGGGUAGCCGGCCUGAGAGGGUGACCGGCCACAUUGGGACUGAGAUACGGCCCAGACUCCUACGGGAGGCAGCAGUGGGGAAUAUUGCACAAUGGGCGGAAGCCUGAUGCAGCAACGCCGCGUGCGGGAUGACGGCCUUCGGGUUGUAAACCGCUUUCGCCUGUGACGAAGCGUGAGUGACGGUAAUGGGUAAAGAAGCACCGGCUAACUACGUG
Molecule: ribosomal RNA, 468 nt
Filed under: uncultured bacterium
Lineage: Bacteria
Description: partial 16S ribosomal RNA
Rfam family: Bacterial small subunit ribosomal RNA
Source: RNAcentral